Long non-coding RNA from Raphanus sativus (radish), 928 nucleotides. RefSeq lists it as uncharacterized. NCBI's taxonomy places the organism in Eukaryota, Viridiplantae, Streptophyta, Magnoliopsida, Brassicales, Brassicaceae. The record is from RefSeq and is a predicted model, not a curated record. The transcript has 2 exons.
UUCUAUGGCCCUCUUCUUCCUAAGCCUCUCUGCACUCUCCGGAAAAGAACGACAGCACAGCGACGAUUGAAUUUUCUUUCGUUUGACUAACAAUGGCGAAUAACGCUUUCCCUAAACAUUCAAUAGCCCCUGUUAUUAUAGCAGUAACAAUCAUUAACCCACUCUUUCCACUCCUUCGCAUUGAUUGCGAAGUACGGCCUUCUAUGGUAACGUCUCAAACCUAGGGCUAUAAAUACUGUCAGAUGCAGGGCAUAGCAAUCAUCUCUUUCAACAAAACCUUCCAUACUUGCGAUUUCAAGCUUUCCUUUCUCAGUGCCACCUCAUGUAUCCUUCUAACUAAUUUGAAAGUUGGUAGUUGCUCUAACAAAGUGGAUGCGUGACAUGCGUCUGCUCCGAUUCUGAGAAAUACGUCAUCUGAAGAAAGGAAGAGAGCUUAUGGGGUUGAAAUGCUCCGUCGACGAGAAGCAGGGAAAAGAUGAUGAGCCCAAAGACAAUAUGCCUGGAGCCAGCUAGCUUUCCUCAGCUUCUGCUAAGCUAGGCAACAACAAUGUGGAGAAGACACCGAGAGUUACAGAAUCUGCACUGGGGAACCUCCCUGAAGUGGAUGGCUUCAUAUCCGAGAAUCCAAAGCUCAAGACAAUUGAGCCUACUGCUAAGAAGGCCCGUACGGAACAGAUGAAUAUGGAAGCUUUUUUUUUAAGACGUUGCUGUCGAUUUGUUAAUGCUUUGGUGUUUUGCCAUUUUCAAACUCUUACGUAUGCUGGUUGAGUUCUUUGCACUAAUAAACAUAAGAAUGAUUAAUAAUCUGUAUUUGUGAAAACUGUUUUGGUUUUGCUCUCUUUAAAGUGGAGAACAAAACGUCUAGAACCAGAGUUACUCUGUUUCUCAUACGGCUGUUUUCCAAAUGAUAUAUGAGUUUUUAUUAUUA